This 67-nucleotide transfer RNA is filed under the name Diadegma fenestrale. Its description in RNAcentral is "tRNA-Gly". The record is from RNAcentral. Lineage: Eukaryota; Metazoa; Arthropoda; Insecta; Hymenoptera; Ichneumonidae.
AUUUAAAUAGUAUAAAUUGUACAUUUAAUUUCCAAUUAAAAAGUCUAAAUUAAUUUUAGUUUAAAUA